RNAcentral lists this transfer RNA (71 nucleotides) under Didymella glomerata. RNAcentral describes it as "Peyronellaea glomerata tRNA". It matches the Rfam family "tRNA". Rfam says of the family: Transfer RNA (tRNA) molecules are approximately 80 nucleotides in length. Their secondary structure includes four short double-helical elements and three loops (D, anti-codon, and T loops). Further hydrogen bonds mediate the characteristic L-shaped molecular structure. tRNAs have two regions of fundamental functional importance: the anti-codon, which is responsible for specific mRNA codon recognition, and the 3' end, to which the tRNAs corresponding amino acid is attached (by aminoacyl-tRNA synthetases). tRNAs cope with the degeneracy of the genetic code in two manners: having more than one tRNA (with a specific anti-codon) for a particular amino acid; and 'wobble' base-pairing, i.e. permitting non-standard base-pairing at the 3rd anti-codon position. Lineage: Eukaryota; Fungi; Ascomycota; Dothideomycetes; Pleosporales; Didymellaceae. The record is from Rfam by way of RNAcentral.
AGCGGGUUGAUGUAAUAGUAACAUAUUUGGCUCAUGACCAGAGUAUAGAGGUUCAAUUCCUUUGUCCGCUU